CCAUUUAGAAAAUAUGUGAAAUUAUGUAAAGAUGAGAUGUGUUGCUUUUGGUAAAGUAAAGUUUAGUUUCUUUUUACUUUCCUUUUGUUGAACGGGAACUUAGUGGAGACCUCUAUAUCAUUUCUCGUGGAAUUUCGAUGCUUUUUGAAAACAAUAUCAACGUUCUUUGAAAUGAGAUACAAGCAUCAAAACCAUGCCUAUUGCCUGGUGUCUUGGAUGACUCGGUUUUUUGUGCAAAACCACCAUCAACAAUGACAGGAAAAUGGCACCAAUUAAGGUAAGGAAAAUAAUAUACCGGACAUGGAAAAUUUGCUAAUGCUGGUCAGGCGUUUACGGAGAUGAACUGAAGAGAACACCGUAUAGAAGUUGGAUGAAAGACAGUUAUUGAAAAGACCUAUAAAAAUUUUACAACAUUUAUUUUCAAAUAUAACGAGACUAAUAGGCAUUUUGAAAGAACACAAAAUAUCACCAAACAAAGUGCCUUGAUUACGACAUAUAUAUUUAAUAUGAAUGCCAAAAAUUAUUUUUUAUUUCACAUUUAUUAGCAUGCGUUUUAUUUAAAACUCUUUCGGACAACACAGCACUAUAUAUACAUAUCCCACCCAACAUGUUGUGUUCAUUCAAUAUUUCUCGACCUCUAGACAUUAAACCAUUUAGUAAUAGCUGUAGUAACAUCAAUAAUAUAUAUAGGGACUUUCUUGUGUUACUGUAUUGACGCACUGGAGAAGUGUUUAUGUUGUGAAACAUCCAAGAAAUAAGCAAAAAGCAAAUAAAGAUAAUGUCUCUUUAAA
Xenia sp. Carnegie-2017 is the source of this 791-nucleotide long non-coding RNA. RefSeq lists it as uncharacterized. Lineage: Eukaryota; Metazoa; Cnidaria; Anthozoa; Malacalcyonacea; Xeniidae. The record is from RefSeq and is a predicted model, not a curated record. The transcript is spliced from 2 exons.